Octopus sinensis (East Asian common octopus) is the source of this 144-nucleotide long non-coding RNA. RefSeq lists it as uncharacterized. The transcript has 2 exons. NCBI's taxonomy places the organism in Eukaryota, Metazoa, Mollusca, Cephalopoda, Octopoda, Octopodidae. The record is from RefSeq and is a predicted model, not a curated record.
AAAAUGAGACAUUGCAUAAAAAACAAAAAGCCAUGAUUCUCAGCACCCACCUCUACGCUUAUCAGGAAUUUUGCAGAGAAAAUAAUCUCUUUCUAAAAUGCCAACAUGUUAGAACUGCAGUUUCUAGCAGACCUACUUCCAGGA